AAAUAAAUAAUAAUUUAAAAAAAGAGUCUGGAAUAAUGCUUGAUCUUCCAACUUGAGCAGGUGGCCUUGGCUGAUGGUGCUCUCGUCAUCAGCUUUGGAUCAAUCCUUGAGAUUUUUAGGAGAAGUUCAGCACCUGGAACAACAAACCCACCUAAAACGGGCUUGGGGUGAUGCCAAGCAGAGGCACGAGGCAGCAAGGCUGCGCGGUCGGGAAGGAAGGCUGGGAGCCAACCUGGUGAUCGGAGGCUGGGAAGCAAAGCUGGAGAGAAGCUGUGCAUAACCCCCUUACGCAUCUGUCCUGGUUUGGGGCUGGGAACCAGCUUGAAAAGCCCACCAGCUCCACAUUUCUUAGCAGCAAACCCAAACUGUCACUUCACAUCCCCUGUGGUGCAACAGAAGGGUGAUAAAAAUAUCUAUAUAUACAUCAAAAAAUAUCUAUGGCUGCUUUGUUUCCUUUUUUUUUGUAGAACUACCGCUCCUGUUCUCUGUUGAGCGCCCAGAGAAACGCUCUGGUGUGUGUGGCGUGGUGAUGGAGCGAGCUUUGUAGUGUUUAUCAUCCCGAAUUGAAAGGAAAAUCCCUUUCCUUGUGGUGAUGGCAGGCGUCACCUUGGGCAUGAAGGCGGUUUCUGCAGGGAGAGGUGGCACUUGGGAAGUUGGGUGGCUUUUCCUUGGGGUGCGGAGCUCUGGGAUGGGUUAAGGUGGAGACAAAAGGGCAAGGACACCUGGGGAAUAGGGAGAAGGGUCCAGAAGAGAUGCCCUGCCUGACACGGGAGGCAUGUGGGGCUAUGGGUAAGCGGGGCCAUGCACCGGGAAACACAAUCCCACCCAAAACAGCCUUGGGGAGCAUCAAGGAGACCGCGGAGAUGCAGAAUGAAGAGGCAGGGGUGGGAAGUUCUCUCCAAGCACGGACUGGGUGAUGGGGACCUGGACCUGGAUUUCUGGAUGAUCCAAAACUCUCCCUGCCCCACCGUGCAGGUGCCAGCGUGAGCACCCAGGACAUCUGCAGCUCCCCAGGUGAUGUUGAGCAUCGGGAUGGGUCCAGAAAUGAGCUGUGGAGGGGGGGAUGAUGAGAAAGGAGAGGGGUUUGGUUCCCUGGGGACAAACCCUUGGAGAACAGACUCUUUCCUCCCCAGUCCUUGGCACUUUGCAGCCCUGCUGCCAUAACUGAUGGCUCGUGGCAUCCCUGCAC
Molecule: long non-coding RNA, 1189 nt
Filed under: Falco tinnunculus (common kestrel)
Lineage: Eukaryota; Metazoa; Chordata; Aves; Falconiformes; Falconidae
Description: lncRNA (ENSFTIG00000002634.1)
Source: RNAcentral